This 23-nucleotide non-coding RNA is filed under the name Drosophila melanogaster (fruit fly). Lineage: Eukaryota; Metazoa; Arthropoda; Insecta; Diptera; Drosophilidae. The record is from RNAcentral.
CGGAACGAGAAUAUACACAGAGA